This 495-nucleotide ribosomal RNA is filed under the name uncultured bacterium. Its description in RNAcentral is "partial 16S ribosomal RNA". It matches the Rfam family "Bacterial small subunit ribosomal RNA", at positions 28 to 507 of the family's 1533-position model. The record is from RNAcentral.
GACGAACGCUGGCGGCGUGCCUAAUACAUGCAAGUAGAACGCUGAAGGAGGAGCUUGCUUCUCCGGAUGAGUUGCGAACGGGUGAGUAACGCGUAGGUAACCUGCCUGGUAGCGGGGGAUAACUAUUGGAAACGAUAGCUAAUACCGCAUAACAGUAGAUGUUGCAUGACAUUUGCUUAAAAGGUGCAAUUGCAUCACUACCAGAUGGACCUGCGUUGUAUUAGCUAGUUGGUGAGGUAACGGCUCACCAAGGCGACGAUACAUAGCCGACCUGAGAGGGUGAUCGGCCACACUGGGACUGAGACACGGCCCAGACUCCUACGGGAGGCAGCAGUAGGGAAUCUUCGGCAAUGGACGGAAGACUGACCGAGCAACGCCGCGUGAGUGAAGAAGGUUUUCGGAUCGUAAAGCUCUGUUGUAAGAGAAGAACGAGUGUGAGAGUGGAAAGUUCACACUGUGACGGUAUCUUACCAGAAAGGGACGGCUAACUACGUG